RNAcentral lists this ribosomal RNA (265 nucleotides) under uncultured Rikenellaceae bacterium. Its description in RNAcentral is "partial 16S ribosomal RNA". It matches the Rfam family "Bacterial small subunit ribosomal RNA", at positions 1120 to 1382 of the family's 1533-position model. Lineage: Bacteria; Pseudomonadati; Bacteroidota; Bacteroidia; Bacteroidales; Rikenellaceae. The record is from RNAcentral.
AGCGGGUCGAUGCCGGGGACGUCUAGCGGAACUGCCAGCGUAAGCUGCGAGGAAGGUGGGGAUGACGUCAAAUCAGCAUGGCCCUUACGUCCAGGGCUACACACGUGUUACAAUGGCCGGUACAGAGGGCAGCCACCCCGCGAGGGGGCGCGAAUCCCGAAAGCCGGUCCCAGUUCGGAUCGGAGUCUGCAACCCGACUCCGUGAAGCUGGAUUCGCUAGUAAUCGCGCAUCAGCCACGGCGCGGUGAAUACGUUCCCGGGCCUU